CCGGAAAGGUGCUAAUACAUGCAAGUCGAGCGAACAGAGAAGGAGCUUGCUCCUUUGACGUUAGCGGCGGACGGGUGAGUAACACGUGGGCAACCUACCUUAUAGUUUGGGAUAACUCCGGGAAACCGGGGCUAAUACCGAAUAAUCUAUUUUACUUCAUGGUGAAAUACUGAAAGACGGUCUCGGCUGUCGCUAUAAGAUGGGCCCGCGGCGCAUUAACUAGUUGGUGAGGUAACGGCUCACCAAGGCGACCAUGCGUAACCGACCUGAAAGGGUGAUCGGCCACACUGGGACUGAAACACGGCCCAAACUCCUACGGGAGGCAGCAGUAGGGAAUCUUCCACAAUGGGCGAAAGCCUGAUGGAACAACGCCGCGUGAGUGAAGAAGGUUUUCGGAUCGUAAAACUCUGUUGUAAGGGAAGAACAAGUACAGUAAUAACUGGCUGUACCUUGACGGUACCUUAUUAAAAAGCCACGGCUAACUACCUGCCAGCAGCCCGGGUAAUACAA
Molecule: ribosomal RNA, 510 nt
Filed under: Lysinibacillus sp. N15
Lineage: Bacteria; Bacillati; Bacillota; Bacilli; Caryophanales; Bacillaceae
Description: bacterial SSU rRNA
Rfam family: Bacterial small subunit ribosomal RNA
Source: RNAcentral